AGUUUGAUCCUGGCUCAGGAUGAACGCUGGCGGCGUGCCUAACACAUGCAAGUCGAACGAAGCGCUUUACUUUGAUUUCUUCGGGGAUGAAGAGUUUUGUGACUGAGUGGCGGACGGGUGAGUAACGCGUGGGUAACCUGCCUCAUACAGGGGGAUAACAGUUAGAAAUGACUGCUAAUACCGCAUAAGACCACAGCUUCGCAUGGAGCAGUGGUAAAAACUCCGGUGGUAUGAGAUGGACCCGCGUCUGAUUAGCUAGUUGGUAAGGUAAGGGCUUACCAAGGCGACGAUCAGUAGCCGGCCUGAGAGGGUGGACGGCCACAUUGGGACUGAGACACGGCCCAAACUCCUACGGGAGGCAGCAGUGGGGAAUAUUGCACAAUGGGGGAAACCCUGAUGCAGCGACGCCGCGUGAGCGAAGAAGUAUUUCGGUAUGUAAAGCUCUAUCAGCAGGGAAGAAACUGACGGUACCUGACUAAGAAGCACCGGCUAAAUACGUGCCAGCAGCCGCGGUAA
RNAcentral lists this ribosomal RNA (516 nucleotides) under uncultured bacterium. Its description in RNAcentral is "bacterial SSU rRNA". It matches the Rfam family "Bacterial small subunit ribosomal RNA", at positions 10 to 523 of the family's 1533-position model. The record is from RNAcentral.